Molecule: long non-coding RNA, 233 nt
Organism: Passer domesticus (house sparrow)
Lineage: Eukaryota; Metazoa; Chordata; Aves; Passeriformes; Passeridae
Exons: 3
Source: RefSeq, a predicted model, not a curated record
CAGAAGGCUUAAGUCCCAGUGCAUCAGCUGGACACAGGAAAUCAUGUUUAGAGAGAAAUGGCCAGACCUGAGCAUGACAAUGUGGAUGGAUUUCUGAAAUGCAUUGUAAAGAUACAUAUCCUGAGAUGUCAGCAGUUACUGGAGAAGAAUUCCUCUUUUCCUGCAAGACAUUUUAAAAAUUGUCAUCUCUCCUCCUGUAAAAUGUGCAAAUUCAAAACCUAAUAAAGCUAUAA